CUACGGGUGGCUCCAGUGAGGAAUAUUGCACAAUGGGGGGAACCCUGAUGCAGCAACGCCGCGUGGAGGAUGACGUAUUUCGGUGUGUAAACUCCUUUUAUAUGUCAAGAAAAUGACGGUAGCAUAUGAAUAAGCACCGGCUAACUCCGUGCCAGCAGCCGCGGUAAUACGGAGGGUGCAAGUGUUACUCGGAAUCACUGGGCGUAAAGGACGCGUAGGCGGGUUGGAAAGUCAGGUGUGAAAUCCUACAGCUUAACUGUAGAACUGCACUUGAAACUUCUAAUCUAGAGUAUGGGAGGGGGAGAUGGAAUUAGUGGUGUAGGGGUAAAAUCCGUAGAUAUCACUAGGAAUACCUAAAGCGAAGGCGAUCUCCUGGAACAUUACUGACGCUAAGGCGUGAAAGCGUGGGGAGCAAACAGGAUUAGAUACCCCCGUAGUC
Molecule: ribosomal RNA, 439 nt
Filed under: uncultured bacterium
Lineage: Bacteria
Description: partial 16S ribosomal RNA
Rfam family: Bacterial small subunit ribosomal RNA
Source: RNAcentral